CAAUAGCGUAUAUUAAAGUUGUUGCAGUUAAAAAGCUCGUAGUUGGAUUUCGGAGCCGACCGGGCGGUCUGUUGAGAGACACGCACUGCUCGGUGGCUCUUCCUCUCGGAGGCCCUGGCUGCCCUUAACUGGAGCGGGCAGGGGAUUCGGGACGUUUACUUUGAAAAAAUUAGAGUGUUCAAAGCAGGCCGGUGCUUGGAUACAUUAGCAUGGAAUAAUGGAAUAGGGCUUGGGUCCUAUUUUGUUGGUUUUCGGGACCGAGGUCAUGGUUAAGAGGGACAGUUGGGGGCAUUCGUAUUCAAUUGUCAGAGGUGAAAUUCUUGGAUUUAUGGAAGACGAACAACUGCGAAAGCAUUUGCCAAGGAUGUUUUCAUUAA
This 377-nucleotide ribosomal RNA is filed under the name uncultured eukaryote. RNAcentral's name for it is "partial 18S ribosomal RNA". It matches the Rfam family "Eukaryotic small subunit ribosomal RNA", at positions 592 to 976 of the family's 1831-position model. The record is from RNAcentral.